GGAGGGUAGGGACUACGUGCGAAAAUAUUCCUUUUAAACAAGACGCGCGGAUCCUCAUGGUAGUGGAUCGGGUCGCGGCUCAUGCUAUUAUACGGCGUUGUUUCUUCCCUUUUAUCAAACCAAACAUUUCCUUCAAAAACAAAGAAAACAAUCAACCAUUUCUAAAAUAACCCUAACCCGCUUUCUUUGAUUCUCCCUCAACCGAUCCCAAAUCCCUACCCUCAGUCGCCGUACCAUCACCUCUAACAGUGGCCGACGGUGAGUAAAUCUUCCCUUUCUAACCUCCUUUAGAAAAACAUUUAAGAAUCUAACACCUUCAACCAUAAAGAAUCAAAAGAACGUCUCAACCUUGGUUGGAUUCGAUUUUAACGCAGGAGAAACUCCGACGAUAUUCCAACGAUUCAGUCUGUUGCAGGUGUGCAUGGUGUGGAGAAGCCGUUCAUGGGCGUGGAGCGUGGCGCGCAUGGAAGCCGUUGUGAAGCAUGGAGGCUGGAGGCUGCGGCACGAGGCUACUGGCUCUUAGGGUUUGCUGAGUGAUUCUUUGUUUUGGGCUGGGACUUUGGGUUUAAUGUUGGGCUAAUAAAUGUAAAUGGACUGAUGUUUUAUUUUUGUUUUGGGCUAUUAAAUGUGGGUGUAAAAGGACUCUGGACCUUUAAAUUAUUUUGGUUUUAUUA
Long non-coding RNA from Gossypium arboreum, 674 nucleotides. RefSeq lists it as uncharacterized. The transcript has 2 exons. The record is from RefSeq and is a predicted model, not a curated record. NCBI's taxonomy places the organism in Eukaryota, Viridiplantae, Streptophyta, Magnoliopsida, Malvales, Malvaceae.